GGAGAGGUGGCAGAGCGGUCGAAUGCGGCGGUCUCGAAAACCGUUAUCCUCGCAAGGGGAUCAUAGGUUCGAAUCCUAUCCUCUCCGCCA
Molecule: transfer RNA, 90 nt
Filed under: Candidatus Omnitrophota bacterium
Lineage: Bacteria; Pseudomonadati; Candidatus Omnitrophota
Description: Candidatus Omnitrophica bacterium tRNA-Ser
Rfam family: tRNA
About the family: Transfer RNA (tRNA) molecules are approximately 80 nucleotides in length. Their secondary structure includes four short double-helical elements and three loops (D, anti-codon, and T loops). Further hydrogen bonds mediate the characteristic L-shaped molecular structure. tRNAs have two regions of fundamental functional importance: the anti-codon, which is responsible for specific mRNA codon recognition, and the 3' end, to which the tRNAs corresponding amino acid is attached (by aminoacyl-tRNA synthetases). tRNAs cope with the degeneracy of the genetic code in two manners: having more than one tRNA (with a specific anti-codon) for a particular amino acid; and 'wobble' base-pairing, i.e. permitting non-standard base-pairing at the 3rd anti-codon position.
Source: RNAcentral